UGAGGAAUAUUGGGCAAUGCCCGCAAGGGUGACCCAGCAACGCCGCGUGGAGGAUGAAUGUCGUAAGAUUGUAAACUCCUGUUAGAGGGGAAGAAUAGUACCGGUUGGACCGGUAUAUGACUGUACCCUCAGAGAAAGCCCCGGCUAACUACGUGCCAGCAGCCGCGGUAAUACGUAGGGGGCAAGCGUUGUCCGGAUUUACUGGGUGUAAAGGGCGCGCAGGCGGGAUAAAAAGUCAGUGGUGAAAUCCUACAGCUUAACUGUAGAACUGCCUUUGAUACUUUUAUUCUUGAGUUCGGGAGAGAGAGACGGAAUUCCAGGUGUAGUGGUGAAAUACGUAGAUAUCUGGAAGAACAUCAGUUGCGAAGGCGGUCUCUUGGUCCGACACUGACGCUGAGGCGCGAAAGCGUGG
RNAcentral lists this ribosomal RNA (412 nucleotides) under uncultured bacterium. Its description in RNAcentral is "bacterial SSU rRNA". It matches the Rfam family "Bacterial small subunit ribosomal RNA", at positions 355 to 764 of the family's 1533-position model. The record is from RNAcentral.